CCGCCCGUAGCUCAGCUGGAUAGAGCGCUGCCCUCCGGAGGCAGAGGUCAGAGGUUCGACUCCUCUCGGGCGGGCCA
RNAcentral lists this transfer RNA (77 nucleotides) under Halieaceae bacterium. RNAcentral's name for it is "tRNA-Arg". It matches the Rfam family "tRNA". Rfam says of the family: Transfer RNA (tRNA) molecules are approximately 80 nucleotides in length. Lineage: Bacteria; Pseudomonadati; Pseudomonadota; Gammaproteobacteria; Cellvibrionales; Halieaceae. The record is from RNAcentral.